Long non-coding RNA from Aphis gossypii (cotton aphid), 1342 nucleotides. RefSeq lists it as uncharacterized. Lineage: Eukaryota; Metazoa; Arthropoda; Insecta; Hemiptera; Aphididae. The record is from RefSeq and is a predicted model, not a curated record. The transcript has 4 exons.
UAUAAAAACGAAACUUUAAUUUUUAUUAAAGGGAUCCGAAAUUAUUAUUAUCUCUAAGGGGUCUGGCAGAGAAAAAGUUUGGAAAACGCUGCUAUAGUUUUUAUGUGAAGCGAAUACAUUUUUACCAAGUAAGGUAAAUGUUAUGUAUCUUUUUGAAUGUGUUACUUUCAUAUCUACAAUGAAUAAGGUACCUAUUCAUUAUUUAUAAGUAAAUCCUAAAUAGUAAUAUUAUCAAAUAAAAAAUGCAGCUAAUUUAUUUACAAUUAAAUGCAGGCCUAAAAAAUUAUAAUGAAAUAAUUACUUUAAAUAUUACAACACACAUAAUAAGUAAUAAAUAAUAAUUCUGUAUAACAUCAUAUUAACUACCUACAAUCUACAUAUAUGGUUACCAUUGCUACUAAUAAAAAAUAAUAUCUAAGUCUGUUUUAAAUUAGCUACCUACCUGUCACCAAACUUUUUAAGAUUUAAAUUGUUCAUGUUCGAGGUUUUUGUUAUUUUAAUUAGAAGUCAAUUUGAAAAAUACAUUUAAUAAUUUAAUUUGGGACGCAGUGUUCGUGUUACCUUUACUUAAUGGAUCGAUUUUAAAAGGAUUUUUUAAGUGAUAUAAAAAGUAAUUUUAUCCGAAAUAAAUUAAUAACACAUUCAUCAUAGUACAAUUAUUGCAAAAAUAUUCUUUAUUAUACCUACAUAACCGGUAGCUGAAAAUGUAAGUUUUAUAAACAGAUUUUUUGAACAACUUCCUGUGGUCAUUGAUUAUUUUGAUUUAUUUUGAUUAAUGGAAAAAACUGAUUUGAAAUUGAAUUGCGUGACCAUAAAACGAACGGACUACGUUUAUGUAUUAUGUGUCGUUUUAUACCUGUUCACCAGUUUGACAGCAAUGCCAUAUUUGAUCUACCCACACAAAAGUGACGUCAUUAUCCUUAUAUUCGUAGGUAUUUGUGUUAACAUAUGUGUAAGACAGCGCGCGACGUUGUGUAAAAACAAAAUGUUAAAAACAACACUAUGUUUGUAUGUUAAUACAUCAAUACUUAAGCUUAUAACUUAAAGAUUCGAACUUGACCUAGUACAAACUAAAAUAAAAAAAACCAAACUAGCUACUUAACAGAACGCCGCUAUACUUCAAGGUUCAAUUUUUUUUUUUUUUUUUGGACGAGUGUCUGACAGUUGAAGAAAAUACUGAAUUUUUAAUGAUCAGUGGCGAUGGCUGGACUUGAUGGACUGAUGUGGGUGAACGAUGAACAUAUUUGAGGAUUGAUGCUUUCCCUUGAGUCUAUUAUUAUAGUUUGUGACAAUAAGUUUUUAUAUUUAUUAUACGGUUGAAAUAGUUGAUAGUUUAUACAAG